RNAcentral lists this ribosomal RNA (492 nucleotides) under uncultured bacterium. RNAcentral describes it as "partial 16S ribosomal RNA". It matches the Rfam family "Bacterial small subunit ribosomal RNA", at positions 29 to 507 of the family's 1533-position model. The record is from RNAcentral.
AGUGAACGCUGGCGGUAGGCCUAACACAUGCAAGUCGAACGGCAGCACAGUAAGAGCUUGCUCUUACGGGUGGCGAGUGGCGGACGGGUGAGGAAUACAUCGGAAUCUACUUUUUCGUGGGGGAUAACGUAGGGAAACUUACGCUAAUACCGCAUACGACCUACGGGUGAAAGCAGGGGAUCUUCGGACCUUGCGCGAUUGAAUGAGCCGAUGUCGGAUUAGCUAGUUGGCGGGGUAAAGGCCCACCAAGGCGACGAUCCGUAGCUGGUCUGAGAGGAUGAUCAGCUACACCGGAACUGAGACACGGUCCAGACUCCUACGGGAGGCAGCAGUGGGGAAUAUUGGACAAUGGGCGCAAGCCUGAUCCAGCCAUACCGCGUGGGUGAAGAAGGCCUUCGGGUUGUAAAGCCCUUUUGUUGGGAAAGAAAAGCAGCAGGUUAAUACCCCGCUGUUCUGACGGUACCAAAAGAAUAAGCACCGGCUAACUUCGUG